RNAcentral lists this small RNA (123 nucleotides) under Klebsiella pneumoniae. RNAcentral describes it as "RtT sRNA". It matches the Rfam family "RtT RNA". Rfam says of the family: This family represents a bacterial cis-regulatory element known as RtT RNA. The exact function of RtT is unknown although it is thought that it may be involved in changing the cellular response in relation to amino acid starvation. The record is from RNAcentral. Lineage: Bacteria; Pseudomonadati; Pseudomonadota; Gammaproteobacteria; Enterobacterales; Enterobacteriaceae.
UAUUCUGCCCCAUGGGGAAGGAUGAGAAGCUUCGACUAAGGUUCGACUCGAGCGCCAGCGAGAGAACGUUGCCACAGGCAACGGCCCGAAGGGCGAGGCGCUUUAGAUCUUCUUAAAAAACAC